AUUGAGCGACCGAUAGUGAACCAGUACUGUGAAGGAAAGGUGAAAAGCACUCCGAAUAGGAGGGUGAAAUAGAACCUGAAACCAUGCGCUUACAAGCGGUCGGAGCUUCGUAAUGGAGUGACGGCGUGCCUUUUGCAUAAUGAGCCUACGAGUUACUGUCACUGGCGAGGUUAAUUCACUUAAGUGGAGGAUCCGAAGCGAAAGCGAGUCUGAAUAGGGCGAAUAGUCAGUGGUAGUAGACGCGAAACUUUGUGAUCUACCCUUGGUCAGGAUGAAGCCCCGUUAACCCGGGGUGGAGGUCCGAACUAUUGAGCGUUGAAAAGCUCUUGGAUGAACUGAGGGUAGGGGUGAAAGGCUAAUCAAACUGAGAAAUAGCUCGUACUCCCCGAAAUGUUUUUAGGAACAGUGUGAGGGUUGAGUUUAGUACAGGUAGAGCUACCAAUUGGACUAGGGGGAGUCACAUCCUACCAAAUCCAGAUGAACUCCGAAUGGUACUAAAUAUACCUUGCAAUGAGGGCAUGGGUGCUAAGGUCCGUGUCCGAGAGGGAAAGAACCCAGACCUGCAGCUAAGGUCCCCAAAUCUAUACUAAGUUGAACUAAGGCGGUCCAGUUGCUGAGACAGCCAGGAUGUUGGCUUGGAAGCAGCCAUUCAUUUAAAGAGUGCGUAACAGCUCACUGGUCGAGCGACAGGGCAUCGAUAAUAAUCGGGCAUAAAGUAUAGUACCGAAGCUCAGGAUUGAUACAGCGAUGUAUCAGUGGUAGGGGAGCAUUCCGAAUGCGGCGAAGGUGAGUUGUAAGACUUGCUGGAGUAAUCGGAAAAGCAAAUGUAGGCAUAAGUAACGAUAAUGCUGGUGAGAAACCGGCACACCGAUAGACUAAGGGUUCCGCGGCAAUGUUAAUCAACCGCGGGUAAGUCGGGGCCUAAUCAAAAGCCGAGAGGCGUAUGAGAUGGACAACUGGUUAAUAUUCCAGUACUACCUUAUAGAGUGAAGGAGAGACGGAGAAGUGAAAGUCUUGCGGCCUUACGGAAUAGGCCGUUUAAGGGUGUAGUUAAAUAUCUGACAGGCAAAUCCGUUAGAUAUGGCGAACCUGAAAGUAGCGGGAGGCUUCGGCCGACUGCAGUAGACGUAAGCAUGCUUCCGAGAAAAUCUUCUAAGCGUUAAUCUAUAAGGUACCCGUACCGCAAACCGACACAGGUGGUCAAGGAGAAUAUCCUGAGGCGCUCGAGUGAUCCGUGGCUAAGGAACUCGGCAAAAUAACCCUGUAACUUCGGGAGAAGGGGAGUCCCGCGCAAGCGGGAUCGCAGAGAAAUGGCCCAGGCGACUGUUUAACAAAAACACAUGGCUAUGCGAAAUCGAAAGAUGAGGUAUAUGGCCUGACACCUGCCCGGUGCUGGAAGGUUAAGGGGGGAUGUUAGUCAGCAAUGGCGAAGCAUUGAACUGAAGCCCCAGUAAACGGCGGCCGUAACUAUAACGGUCCUAAGGUAGCGAAAUUCCUUGUCGGGUAAGUUCCGACCUGCACGAAUGGUGUAACGAUCUGGGCGCUGUCUCAGCCGCGAGCUCGGUGAAAUUGUAGUAACGGUGAAGAUGCCGUUUACCCGUCACGGGACGGAAAGGCCCCAUGAACCUUUACUAUAGCUUCACAUUGGUAUUGCUAUCGUGACUGGGAAA
This 1670-nucleotide ribosomal RNA is filed under the name freshwater metagenome. RNAcentral describes it as "bacterial LSU rRNA". It matches the Rfam family "Bacterial large subunit ribosomal RNA", at positions 475 to 2145 of the family's 2925-position model. The record is from RNAcentral.